Bos indicus x Bos taurus (hybrid cattle) is the source of this 725-nucleotide long non-coding RNA. NCBI's taxonomy places the organism in Eukaryota, Metazoa, Chordata, Mammalia, Artiodactyla, Bovidae. The record is from Ensembl.
CUCUAGCACAAGAUAUGAGAAGAGUACAUGUGAUACAUUUAUUCACUGGACUGUAAAAUGAAUGACCAGGAGCUAACUGUGGGUAAACUCAGAAGUCGAAGGAGCUAGUUGCCUGGGGACUUGACGGUAUAUCUUUUUUGAAAUCACAUAACCCACAAGAGGCCCUAGUAUGCAGAUGAGGAUGUGACAGUGAUUUUGGAGUUGCCUUCAACUUUGGGGGAACAGAAGAAACUGAAGCACAAAACAAACUUAGAGAAGCUGAAAGAAGCUAAAGUAUUUAAAAACAUAUUAAAUGGGAAUCACUUCUUACCUUGAAAUGUUCUCAAAUGUCAUAGCACAAGAGAACCGCGGUGGCAUUGUGAAUAUAAGACCAAAAGAAGAUGGCAGCAACAGACCAUGGAACACGUCUGUACUGUUUUCCAGUCUCCACGGCCACCACCUGCCUCCACAGGCACCACCUAAGGAUUCUCAGAGCUGCAGGAAUGAGAGUUUUUUCAACUUUUAUCCUCAUGGUGACUCCCCAUGCAGUUUCUUGAGGGCUGUGGUAAACCAUUUCUCUGUAAUAAAAAUACCCAUGAUACUCUUUUCUCUACUGCCUCUUUGAAAUGUAAGAUGGCAGUAUUUAAAAAAAAAAGAUGGCAGUAUUAAAAUUGCUUAUAUUGAAUGUACUGUCAUUUCCAAAAUUCUUCACAUGGUCAAAUAAAAAUAUUCUCUUUGAAUAUGCA